UUCUACGGCACCAGUUGUACCUUGUUUCUGCAAAUCUUCGAAUGGCACUGGAACUACAGUAUCAACACCAACCUGAGCUAUAGUGGACAACGUUUCUACAAGAGAACGUUUCACUUUAGGUGGUUCAGAGUAUGGUGCUAGAUUAGGUUUGACUGGAAUGGCGAACUCAAAGUCCUCAGCUGCUGCGACUUCAACUAGUACAUCG
RNAcentral lists this unclassified non-coding RNA (205 nucleotides) under Hevea brasiliensis (rubber tree). The record is from RNAcentral. Lineage: Eukaryota; Viridiplantae; Streptophyta; Magnoliopsida; Malpighiales; Euphorbiaceae.